AUACGGAGGGUGCAAGCGUUACUCGGAAUCACUGGGCGUAAAGCGCGCGCAGGCGGCUAUUUAAGUUGGAUGUGAAAGCCUACGGCUCAACCGUAGAACUGCAUCCAAAACUAUUUAGCUAGAGUGUGGGAGAGGAAGAUGGAAUUAGUUGUGUAGGGGUAAAAUCCAUAGAGAUAACUAGGAAUACCAAAAGCGAAGGCAAUCUUCUGGAACACUACUGACGCUGAGGCGCGAAAGCGUGGGGAGCAAACAGGAUUAGAUACCCUAGUAGUCC
Molecule: ribosomal RNA, 274 nt
Filed under: uncultured bacterium
Lineage: Bacteria
Description: partial 16S ribosomal RNA
Rfam family: Bacterial small subunit ribosomal RNA
Source: RNAcentral